AAUUAACAAGGGUUUAGCAUCUGAACUAGAAAACCUGCCCGAAAAAUUGAGUACAUCAAACUUGGAACUGGAAGCAUUGCAGGAAGAGCUUUUGGCCCGGAAACAGAGCCUGGAAGAAUCUAAAUUUGAGCAGCGAAAGAUGGAAGGCUCCAUUAAAAUGUUCACUGAAGAAAAGGGAGACUUGGCGAUGCAACUUACAGAUUCCCUUUUGGAAAUGGAGGAGGAAAAAGCAAUAUGGUCAGCUAAGGAGAAGACUUCCGUUGAAGCCAUAGAAUAGAAGAGAAAUCAAAGUGUAAGGUGAGAAAUGAAUGGAGUCUUGAAGACGAGAAUGCAAGGUCCUUAGAGAAAGAUUAACUUCUUGUGAGGAAACGGC
Molecule: long non-coding RNA, 373 nt
Organism: Prunus dulcis (almond)
Lineage: Eukaryota; Viridiplantae; Streptophyta; Magnoliopsida; Rosales; Rosaceae
Exons: 4
Source: RefSeq, a predicted model, not a curated record